CAAAAAAAGAGGAUUUAGGGACUACAUUUGACAUAUAUGCUUUUGUAGACUUUGAAUUAAAUGAAUUUAAUGGUUUGACUUAACCUCUCAUUCAGUCAACUGAUAAACUCUUAGUAAGCACCUACUCUAUGUCAAGCACUGUACUAAAUAUUGAGGAUAGAAAGAAAGAGUUGGCCACAAACUAUUUUAGAAUCAGACCUCACGGCUUACAAAUGUGUCUGUAACACAGACACACAAAAAUGGACCGCCCCCCUCAGUAAUUUGGAGCCCAUGAAAGUCCUCCUGAAGAAGAUGACACAAAAGAAGCCAGAGAUCAUAAAUAGCAAGGGGAAUGGAUCAUUGGAGAUGGUCCGUCUUUGGAAAUGUCUUUGAGUAUUAUCUGGCACCAAGUCUGACCACACUGUUGUAUCAGCUCACCACAGAUCACUUCUGAUCUCCAUACAUGUGCCCAUUUGAAGUAAUGACCCUGACUGAGGAAUCAAAUUUUGUCCCUGAAAACAGAA
Molecule: long non-coding RNA, 503 nt
Filed under: Monodelphis domestica (gray short-tailed opossum)
Lineage: Eukaryota; Metazoa; Chordata; Mammalia; Didelphimorphia; Didelphidae
Description: lncRNA (ENSMODG00000038462.1)
Source: RNAcentral